GAUGAACGCUGGCGGCGUGCCUAAUACAUGCAAGUCGAGCGAACAGACGAGGAGCUUGCUCCUCUGACGUUAGCGGCGGACGGGUGAGUAACACGUGGAUAACCUACCUAUAAGACUGGGAUAACUUCGGGAAACCGGAGCUAAUACCGGAUAACAUGUUUAACCGCAUGGUUCAACAGUGAAAGACGGUCUUGCUGUCACUUAUAGAUGGAUCCGCGCCGCAUUAGCUAGUUGGUAAGGUAACGGCUUACCAAGGCAACGAUGCGUAGCCGACCUGAGAGGGUGAUCGGCCACACUGGAACUGAGACACGGUCCAGACUCCUACGGGAGGCAGCAGUAGGGAAUCUUCCGCAAUGGGCGAAAUCCUGACGGAGCAACGCCGCGUGAGUGAAGAAGGUAUUCGGAUCGUAAAACUCUGUUAUUAGGGAAGAACAAAUGUGUAAGUAACUAUGCACGUCUUGACGGUACCUAAUCAGAAAGCCACGGCUAACUACGUG
This 497-nucleotide ribosomal RNA is filed under the name uncultured bacterium. RNAcentral describes it as "partial 16S ribosomal RNA". It matches the Rfam family "Bacterial small subunit ribosomal RNA", at positions 28 to 507 of the family's 1533-position model. The record is from RNAcentral.